RNAcentral lists this ribosomal RNA (468 nucleotides) under uncultured bacterium. RNAcentral's name for it is "partial 16S ribosomal RNA". It matches the Rfam family "Bacterial small subunit ribosomal RNA", at positions 28 to 507 of the family's 1533-position model. The record is from RNAcentral.
GACGAACGCUGGCGGCGUGCUUAACACAUGCAAGUCGAACGGAAAGGCCCUGCUUUUGUGGGGUGCUCGAGUGGCGAACGGGUGAGUAACACGUGAGUAACCUGCCCUUGACUUUGGGAUAACUUCAGGAAACUGGGGCUAAUACCGGAUAGGAGCUCCUGCUGCAUGGUGGGGGUUGGAAAGUUUCGGCGGUUGGGGAUGGACUCGCGGCUUAUCAGCUUGUUGGUGGGGUAGUGGCUUACCAAGGCUUUGACGGGUAGCCGGCCUGAGAGGGUGACCGGCGACAUUGGUACUGAGAUACGGACCAGACGCCUACGGGAGGCAGCGGUGGGGAAUAUUGCACAAUGGGCGGAAGCCUGAUGCAGCAACGCCGCGUGCGGGAUGACGGCCUACGAGUUGUAAACCGCUUUCGCCUGUGCCGAAGCGUGAGUGACGGUAAUGGGUAAAGAAGCACCGGCUAACUACGUG